ACGGGAGGCAGCAGUAGGGAAUAUUGCACAAUGGGGGGAAUCCUGAUGCAGCGACGCCGCGUGAGCGAUGAAGUAUUUCGGUACGUAAAGCUCUAUCAGCAGGGAAGACAAUGACGGUACCUGACUAAGAAGCCCCGGCUAACUACGUGCCAGCAGCCGCGGUAAUACGUAGGGGGCAAGCGUUAUCCGGAUUUACUGGGUGUAAAGGGAGUGUAGGUGGCCUGGCAAGUCAGAUGUGAAAGCCCGCGGCUCAACUGCGGGACUGCAUUUGAAACUGUCAGGCUGGAGUGCAGGAGGGGAAAGCGGAAUUCCUAGUGUAGCGGUGAAAUGCGUAGAUAUUAGGAAGAACACCGGCGGCGAAGGCGGCUUUCUGGACUGUAACUGACACUGAGGCUCGAAAGCGUGGGGAGCAAACAGGAUUAGAUACCCUGGUA
RNAcentral lists this ribosomal RNA (434 nucleotides) under uncultured bacterium. RNAcentral's name for it is "partial 16S ribosomal RNA". It matches the Rfam family "Bacterial small subunit ribosomal RNA", at positions 341 to 792 of the family's 1533-position model. The record is from RNAcentral.